This 467-nucleotide ribosomal RNA is filed under the name uncultured Oomycota. RNAcentral's name for it is "LSU rRNA". It matches the Rfam family "Eukaryotic large subunit ribosomal RNA", at positions 326 to 629 of the family's 3401-position model. Lineage: Eukaryota; Oomycota. The record is from RNAcentral.
GUGCGAGACCGAUAGCGAACAAGUACCGUGAGGGAAAGAUGAAAAGAACUUUGAAAAGAGAGUUAAAGAGUACCUGAAACUGCUGAAAGGGAAGCGAAUCGUAUCCAGUGUCUAUAAUCUGCGGCAUAUUUCAUUGGCGGCAGUGUGCGUGCUUUUGCGUCGGAAGCGGCUUUUGUUGCUCUGUGCUUUUGCUGUGCGUGCUGUUGCUGGUGCCCUGUGUUGCGGUGGGACGUCAGAGUCAGUUCGUAUGCUGCGGGAAAUGGCCGCCGAGGAGGUAGGUCAGGACUUCGGUCUUGGCUGUUAUAUCUUGGUGGUUUGUUGUCGUGGUUGAGACUGAGGUGCCUACAAUGUGCUUUUGAGUGUACCGGGUUCUCAUUUGGUGGACUGUUUGGAUAGCUUGCUAUGCUUGUGGUUUUUUCAUCGGGUGAUUGAGUCUGGUGGUAACUUGUUGCUGUUCGGGACUUUGA